Molecule: ribosomal RNA, 354 nt
Filed under: uncultured soil bacterium
Lineage: Bacteria
Description: bacterial SSU rRNA
Rfam family: Bacterial small subunit ribosomal RNA
Source: RNAcentral
AGGACGAACGCUGGCGGCGUGCCUAAUGCAUGCAAGUCGAACGAGGUCCACCCCGUGGCAACACGGGUGAAGACCUAGUGGCGAACGGGUGAGUAACACGUGAGGAACCUGCCCCGAAGACCGGGAUAACCCUCCGAAAGGAGAGCUAAUACCGGAUGUCUCCACCAGAUCGCAUGGUCAGGUGGGGAAAUGCUUUUGUGCUUCGGGAGGGCCUCGCGGCCUAUCAGCUUGUUGGUGGGGUAACGCCCACCAAGGCAUCGACGGGUAGCGUGGUCUGAGAGGACGAUCGAGCCACACUGGGACUGAGACACGGCCCAGACUCCGUACGGGAGGCAGCAGCGAAGGGAACUCGUU